RNAcentral lists this long non-coding RNA (3966 nucleotides) under Nicotiana benthamiana. Its description in RNAcentral is "long non-coding RNA (NBEN_LNC021883)". Lineage: Eukaryota; Viridiplantae; Streptophyta; Magnoliopsida; Solanales; Solanaceae. The record is from RNAcentral.
CAUCCAACAAUUGAUCUAAUCAACCCUAGAUCAAUUGUUUAGCUAAUCAUAACAAAGCAAGAUAAAACUACAAAAUUGUCCAUUAUGUGUAAUUGCAAAAAUUAAAAAGAGAUAUAAAAACUCUAAUGUUUGGUUGAUCUUCACACACUUGUUCUUGCCUUCAAAGUAGUCCAAAAACAAGCUUUUUUAACUUUGUUGUGCGAGCUUAUUGAGUUUAUAAGGGUUUGGAAUAAGUUUUUCCCGAGUUAUACUUUGGUCCCACAAGUUCUGGACACUGCAUAACUCACCGCGGCUGCGGCACGACAACGGUGAGAGCCUAACAUUCUGCCUGUGUUUGUGGCCUACUGCGGUCCCACCGCGAUCCAUCGUGAUCGCUGUGGAUUCAAACUCAGUCCCCUUUUUGCUUCUUUCCGCCCGGGUGCUUCUUGCUUGGAUGUUUUUUUCACAUUAUUGACUCCAAAAUACUCCAUAGUUCUUCCUAACUUGGAUUAGUCGCUGCGAAGCAAAAGAAUACCAAUUAGAACAUUUUUUGAUCAUUUAGCCUAUAAAACAACAAUAAAGCAUGGUAUAACUAGGGUGUAAAUAUCGUCUAUGUAGCCUAUUAUCAACAACCCACACUUAAUUCAUUACUAGUCCUCGAGCAAGCCACCACACUCUAUCAAAUUUCCUUCCCUAAGCUUUCUCCUUAACAAAUUACACCAUGAAAGAUUCACCAAAGUUUCACCUAGUAGCGAGCAACCUUUUCCUUAAAAGUAGAAUCUCUCAUGACAUGCACUAUUCGCACUUACUCAAACUACUCUAUACAUAAGUCAAGACUUUCCUUCGUGAAUCACAUGCCCUCACAUUAUACAAGAGAGUAAUUCUACAAUUAAUAUUAUUAAGAAUAAUUAGGAACUCAGAUGGACAAAAUUCACUCACUCUCAACAAGAACAUUCCAUGCCACAAAGAUGCACCAUAGGCUUGCCUGUUGUGUACUACUCUACUAAUCGAGCCUAUUCAAUCUAAGAUCAGUUAGGACUUCACUUGGUGUAAUUUAGGCUAAGGGAUGGGUAGGAUAUAUCUGGAUAUAGUGACUAACCUCCCUAAGCACUUUUAAUACAAUCACAUUAACCUUCCAAAUCAUACUUAUGCAACCAGAAGUUCCACCAUAUUUUAUUUAUAUCAUCUCAUUCCUUUAGGUGCAUUUGUAUCAAGCCACCACUUAUCAACUACUACAUUUAUUCAUUUUUUUACGUCGCGCUUCUUCUUUUACUCUUCCAAAACUGCACAUUUCUUUUAUUUUAUUGGUUCCACUCAAAAACCAAAACAUUACCCACACUUUAACUUUUGCAUAUGUCAAGGUCAUUCAAGUGCUCAUGGGAGGUAAAAGGGGUUCAAUCAGAUGUCUAUUCAAAUAAUUGGGUAAGGUUCGCAAUGUGGAUGUCAAAGAAAUAGUCUUAUAGGCCCAACAGGGUUAGCUACGAUGUAUUACAUUUAGGUGGGUAUACUUAUAUAUUUGGCUUAACAAAGAAAUGCCUAUACCACUUUUAAGCCUGAAUCUACUAUUUCACUUUGCAAACACACAAGGCAAGUUCUAGGCAUCAAAUGUAAAGCACAUAAUAUAGUACAGCUCACACACAUUGCACAUGACCCACUCCAGAUUGGUUAAUCAAGACACUCUCUUUUGAGUGUUCAAGUCAGUUACAAACCUACAAAUUUAAGGCACUUUAGUAAGAGUCAACCACUGAGACUAGGUGCUACACUCUAGUGCCGACUGUGUUCAAGUGUAAUAAUGCCACAGGUUUCUCUUUCUAUUUCAGUUCGUAGCCCAUCAAUACUAAUUAAAAAUUAAACAAAAACUACCUACACCUGGUUCAAUCUAAACCCUUGGAAAAGAAUCGUGGCCCAAAGAAAAACCAAGGGGGAGUUACGACACUACCUAAAAAUAAAAUAAAAAAAUCUUUUUGGUAUUUUCUGUAGACUAACUUCCCUUAAGAACUAUCUGAAACAUCUGCCAUCAGGAAGAGUCCUAAUAUUUCUUUUGUUUGACUAAUGUCGUCAAGAGACUUGUCGAAAGGCGUCCGUCUUCAGGCCAAGUCGAAGUUAAAUACAUGACCCUAUGAUACCAAGCAAUCAAAAAGAAAGAAAGCAACAUCAUACACAAUUUUACAAUCUUUAUACAAAUACAGCCAUCCCCCACCCACACUUAAAAUAUGGCAUGUCCCCAUGUCAAUAACUAGAAAGUAGAGUAAUGUAAGGGGACUUCCCUGAAGCUCAAUCUUGAUCAGAAACAGUGCAAGUAUCGAGGUGAGAUGCUCAUCCUAGCACUCGAAACCAUCCCAUAAUCCUUUUCUCUGAUUUGGCAUGUUGAGUGGCCAGAGUGUCAACUUUGCUGCGUAGGUUAGUGACUAAAGUGCAGAGACCGUCCAUUUCCUACUCCAAGGAUGUCAGGUGGGUACUUUGGCAAGCUUGUGAUGGGCCCCCUUCAUCCAUUCUUGGAGAUGGUGGUACAGCAGCAACCUCAGCCUCCUCGUCCGCUUUGUCAUCAUCCUGAACUAUCAACUUCGUCAUCAUCCUCAACUAUCACCACCGGCUCUCUUCUAAUUUUGAUUUUUCUUGCCCGGAACAGGGCUUUCAAUGGUAAUUUCUCAUCAAUUCUAAGGUUUUCUGGGACUCGAAAAACACGGCACAGCUUGGUAACCAGAGAAGGGAAGUAAAAACCCUUGAGUAUCUCAGGUGAGCGAAUGAACAUCUCAUCAUGGAGGAUCCGGGAGACAAUAAAGUUUUGGUGGGUCAUAAAGUUGUAAAUAGUCACUGCUCGUGGCCCAUUUACAUCAGUCGGUUGCUGGAGGGUAGCAACAAACUAUUGAUAAUGGUAAACCAACACUUAGCCUCCCAAUUGAGAGAUUAUGAGUUCAAUGUUAUCAGACACUUUAUCCAUAUAAACUCCCUAUCAGGAACACAUAUGACAUCAAGAAUUGGUGCCCAAUUAACCCUCGGGUGGUGACAAGCAAUGUAAUCAUCCAUGUCCCUCGUGAAUACUGGUAGUCGGUACACCCGGCGGAUGGCCUCGAGGGAUGCAUUUACCCAGGUAUUACAUAUAGUAACAACCUCGUUCUCAUGUUUUGAGCAGUUAGUAUAGAAUUCCCUCACUGUCUGUACAUUAGCCUCCUCUGGUUCCUCAAUAAAUAUGUCCACCUGACACCUCCUCAACUUAGUAAAGAUAUUUGGGCAUUCCACUUGAAAAGUUGCCCGGUCAAUUGCACCUCCGAUAACAAUUUAUUUAACGCUUUGGCAUUAUAUCGGUCCUCAGCUUUCUUACAGAAAAACAUUGUGUGGUCAAAAUAUGUUGCAGUAGUUUGGACCCAAGCUCUCAAGGAACUGCCUAGAUCCACUAGCAGAGGACCGUGUUGUGCGUCUCUUUCUAGAUGGUGGCAUUGUACAUGUCAACAGAAAAUCUCCUAUCAGUAAGGGUACGAGUUGUGUGAACUAUGGGAGGUUACUCAGACUUCACCGCAACCAUGGUCACAUUAGCCCUUAUAAAUUCAUUAGGGCAAUUCCACAAACACAUUGUGGGCAAGACACCUUCCUAACACAUAUAGCCAUAUGAAUACAUCAAUGAUUCCCUCAAAUAACAAUUCACCCUUCACCAUUUCACCCAUAACACUAGUCUUACACACACAAGCACACAUAUAUAUACAAUAUAGUUCACACCCUUCACUACAUAUUAGGCACAAAACCCAUUACAAAGCAAAAGGAAAAUCAAAAGAAAAAAUCUACAAAAAAUACUACACAAUUAAACAUCAACUACAUAAAAACUAAAAUAAAAUAAAAGAAAAGAUAGGAAGAAGCAUGCCAUACCUGGGUUGAGUAGAGAGUAAGAGGAAUGAGUGUUGAAGAAGAAGAAGAAGAAGAAGAAGAAGAAAAAGAAGAAGAAGAAGAAGAAGAGAGGAAGGGAGCGUUUGGCUAGGUUUAGAGAGAUACUGG